CAGGACUUGCAUAGGAAUUGCAACACCUGUGGCCUAGACUGCCCCUCAAGUUCACUUAGGGCCCCAGAGCACUCCAGCACACAGUGGCAGGGCUUUUAUCAAGUCAUGCUGGGAUAGAUAAUUCUGUCUGGUUAGGGCCAGUCCAAAUGCUCCCUCUGUGGGCAGAUGUCAGCUGAGUACAGCCCAGUUCUGCUUUCCACUGUGAUGGGGCAGCACUGAGUUCAGUGCAAAACCUCAUAAUCACCACACUCUCCCUCUUCAAAGCACACAGAUUCUCCACACCAUGCAGCCACUUCUGAGGAAUGGGGAACAGGUGGCAUCAGCACUUCAAGACUGUCUUUCUUGCUCUCUUCAAUAAUUCUUUCACUGAUAGAAGUUAAAACCAGGUGCCUUUGCUUCCCCCAUCAAGAGGUAGAGUCUAUUUCUCUACCCCCUUGAAUAGGGGUGCUUAAUGUCCUGCUUUGAACAAUAAAUUGCAGUAGAAGUGAUGGUGUUAGUUCCAAGUCUGGACCUCAAGUGGCCUGGCAGCUUCUGCUCUCGCUCUCUUGAGACCCUGAGAACACUGUGUGGAAAAGUCCAGUCCAGCUGGCUGGAGGAUGAGAAAGCUUGUGGGGAGUAAGGUCCGGAGAAGAGCUGUCACCCAUAGCCAGGCAUGUAAGUGAGUCAUGUUGGAUCACUCAGCCCCAGUGGAACUGCCUGAUGACAGCAGUCACGAGUGUCCUCAGGAAAACCAACAGAGGAACAGCCCAGCUGAUCCCAGCCCAAACUGCUGACCCACAGAAUUAUGAGGAAAAACUUGUUGUAUUAAACCAUCAAAUUGUGUAGGUGCUUUUAAUGCAUAAAAAGAGUUUCUGAACUCUUCAUCGAGGGCUGUAUGGAUUUCCUGAGAACAAACAAGUCCAUCUUGGUGAAAGAAUCCACCUUCACUGAUGUGAAACUAAAGGUUGAGCAAGUUUACUUCUGGAGAAGAACGCUGUUGACAGGCUUACACAUGAUGAUGGAGCAAUGGAAAUAUUAAUGCUGGGUGAUUAACACAGACUCUACAACCGGAGAUAAUACGUGAAACACAUAAUGGAAUGUCAAAACAAAUUAAUUUCCUGGUCCGGCUUGUAAAUACAGUACUUUGUGUAAGCAACAGCAAAAAACCAUGAAAAGUGAGAUCUUCGUGAUACUAAUUUCACUCACCCAUUCAACAGGUUGUUUUGUUUUUUUAGAAGAAGAUGGGGAUUUUCUGUUCAGCUCAAGCCCUCCAACCACGAGGCUGAAAGUGAGUACCUAUCUGCAGCCUGGAACUUGGGUAUUAGCAGCCAUGGUUCUGCACAGAGCCGUUCUCACCUCCUUGAACCAUGAGUCCUGCAGAGUGUCCUGAGAGGGGCUGGAUGUGUAAUUUCACCCUUCCCAGGCCAUUCUUGGAUCCAUCUCAGCCCAAUUCUGGAAGAGCAGUGCAAGAAAACAUUCUGGUGUCUUGUGAAACUUGUUCAGCUGGGAACUUGGCUACAAGGGUUGCUAUGGUAACCUAAGCAGCUGCACUUGGGGGAACUGUGCUUCCUGUUGGAGUGUGGGAUGUGUUUGUGUUUGCACAUGAACGUGUGUAGCACAGAGGAAAGGAAUGACAUCACUACCAAGAAGGGGCUAGUCAAUCCAUGUAAGGCCCUGGGAUUAUCCCAUAAGCCAUUUCCCUCAAGUCCACUCAAGUGUUCCCCCAGAGUCAAUUGCAAUUGUAAUUUCAUGACAGCAUGAAGCCAAUCCUUUUCAAAUUGUCUGCAUUAGCUCUAUGCUUGUGGAAAUCUUCUCCUCAAUGUGUGGUUCCUCCAAGUUUUAUCGGGAUAUAGUUGCCUCAUAAUCUUUCAGUCCAAUAAACCUGCAGGUAUCCACAGAUGGAUGAAUAGCAUGUGUAUUCUGCCUGUAAAUGUUGUUAAUGGCAGGUGACAGGGAUGCUGUGACUGCUUAUAAUAAUCGCGUUCAUCUUUGAAUGUUAAUUCACUUGAUCUUUUUGAAAUUAUAUCUAGAAUUUCUACAAAGCGUAUCAUCAAACAUGAUUUACAGAUUUUGGAUCUCAUGCAAUGUACUCAGGGUUUGUAAGAAGUUCGUCAUUCUCAGUGCUUCUUUGUAUAAUUAAAGAGCAAUGAGUAGUAUUACUUAAUAAAAUUUUAAACUCCCAAAUGUAAAAAGUCUGAAUCAUAUGCAACUGAAAAAAAAUGUGGAAGAAAUGUUACAUAUUAGAGAUGUUUAAAAUUAGAGACAAAGUGAAACCCUACACAGAUCCCUCUUCUCUCGGGUAUUAAUAAUAACAAUAAAU
This 2299-nucleotide long non-coding RNA is filed under the name Homo sapiens (human). Its description in RNAcentral is "HSALNT0053354". Lineage: Eukaryota; Metazoa; Chordata; Mammalia; Primates; Hominidae. The record is from RNAcentral.